Homo sapiens (human) is the source of this 2802-nucleotide long non-coding RNA. Lineage: Eukaryota; Metazoa; Chordata; Mammalia; Primates; Hominidae. The record is from Ensembl.
GGACAUCUUUAUUCAAGCCAGCAAAUGACACGCCAGGAGCCCAGGUGAGCCGGAGUGCUCUGCCCAGCCUGGCUGCAGUUGUUGGCCAGAGCUCAGAGCUCUCCUGGGCCUGGCAGAUGGCUCUGCCUGCACUUCUUUUUGGGACUCAGAGACUAAAUUAGAAAGGGGUGGGGGUAGCCCCAGGAGAACCCACUUUCAUUGUCAAUCUUGAGGUCAAAGAAAACCAGAGGUCUGUCUUCUGCUUGGGGGUCAGCAAGGUUCUCGUCCAGGACCCUGAGGGUGCUGGGGCCUUCCAGCUGGAGGUCACUGGACUCACUGCUGCUGUCAUCCAGCUCUCGGGAGGACUGCAACACAGAAAAACCAAGCGUCAGGGAUUCAGAGGGCCAAGGCAAGCACCUGUGCAGAACACUAGCAAGCUGGUAUAGCUGGGAGCAUCUGCGUGCACAUGAAGGAGGGUGUACCACUGGGAAAGGGGACGUGUGCACAAGAGAAGACUCAGAAGAAACACCAAAACUUGGGACGGGAGAAAGAAGCCUCAUCUUGAACCCCAGAUGAUUCUUUGGAAGGGGUCGGGAGCCUGCCUUUUCUUGUCCCCGAAGUCAGCCGAGGUGCCAGUGUCCUACACAAAGGCGAGGGGAAGGACUGCUUGGCCUCCUGAAGGCCACAUCUAGGUGGACACCCAGGUCCUUGGCAGUGAGAGAGCAGUGGAGGCUCUUGGCAUCUGCCCCAGCAGCUUAGAGAAACCUGAGUUUUGGGAGUCCUUCAGGUGAGGCGUUCUCUCCUGUCCCAAGGUCCUGGUGGGAACACUGUUCGAGAAGCCAUGGGGUGGGGAGCCAGAGGAUGAGGGAAGGGCUCCAGCUCUGAGAUUUUCCCAAGGGACUGGGACUACAGAGGGAGGUGGAGCCUCUGAUGGUAAUACAGAGUUAAUUGCUUAUCAUCUGCUCAGCUGCCAAGCCCAGAUGUUUAGUCUUUGAUGACCAACUUGGAACCUCCCAUGAAUGCCACCUGUGGACGUUAGCCAGAGACCAGCAAGGAAGAGACAUGGACAGGAUCACAGGGCCAAUUGGGAGCAUGGCUGGGACAGAGUCCAGGGCAGGCCUUGGGUUUUUCCUCUUUAUGGACUGCCGCUGGCUUCUCAAUGAAGUUGGUGUCACCUGGUGCUAAAGCCUCAGUUAAUUCUGGCCUCUGGCUAAUGUCCCUGGCCUAGGAGGCAGCACAUUUCCCCAGACCCUUCCAAUGCCCAAGUGAAACAUCUGCUUCCAACCAAGCUUCAACUGAGAGAAAAAGCGUUUCCACCCACAAGUAACCUAAGAUGUGGUGGGUUUUUGUAGGAGUGGCUGGAUUUCACUGGAUUUGCAUUUCACAGCCCUGCUCCAGGCUCAUCAGCUUUCUGCCAGUUAUUGUCAGAAGCAGACACUCACUAUGAAUCCAUCUAGAGCUGGCUUUGCCUCUUCAUAUCCAGGGAUCUAGUCAGAGAGUCUGCCCAGCGCCUCGCAUCUCCAGAUCCUCAUUCAGCCACGCUGUCAAAAGCUGAUUUCACACGUCUUGCUCCGGGUGAGCCCACACUGCUGUCUCGCCUUUCCAACUCGGUUUCCUCCCUGUAAGGAGCCUUCUACAAGGCGUCUUCCUAGCUUGUAGCUGGGUGGCUGGAGACUCCACCUUCUCCCGCUUUGGGAGAAUCCAGUUGUUUCCUCUCUCCAGGCUUCACUGGGCAGCAGCGCUCUCCCACAAGCUGGUGGAGGGGCUGGGCUCCCCUUCUGGGUCCUCCCUGGUUCAGAUCCUUGGUGCCAAUAGCUGAGGCUGAGUCCAUGCUGCCACCCACUGACAUGGCACACAGGACUUUCUCUUUUUCGUUCUUCUUCCUGCUCCAAACCCAACUGGAAAUGCCCCUUUGUGUUCCUGAGUGCCUCCACAAAGCUCGGGGCAAUGUCCUCGGCCUUAGAACCAGUCUUCCCGCCUUCAGAUCUGCUCUUCCAAGAGGAGAGCUCCCUGGAGAGCCACAGUACUGUCUCUUUAGGCCACCCCUCCCAUCGUUACAGCAGGGUCAUUUAUGGCAGCCACUAGAACCUCGUUUUUAGAGCCUUCCAUUGUCCCGGGGCCAGGGAAAUGUCCUUUGUCCUAAACUUACUCGAGCUGCCUUCUCUAAGAAACCUCUACUGUCUCCUUUAAUAAAAGGACACCCCCUUUCCACCAAGCUUGUUAAUGGAGGAGAGGCUGGACCUUUCAGCCCUGACUCACUUCCUCCAAAAUUCCUCUUGCCCUUGGGGACUUCCAUAAAGUAUGGCCACCCAUGGAGCUGGUCUCACUGGAACUCCAGCCAGCUGUAAACCCAGAAUUCUCCCCUGCUCCGCCUUAAACUCCAGCAUCACAGCUGGGGAGUGCUGACGCAUUUAAACAAGACUUUCUGAAAGACUCAGGUUUGCCAGCAGGGCCAUCAGACAUAGUGGCCUGGUGCAGAACAUACUCCCCUCCCUGCUCACUAGGGGAGACUCUCCCAUUCUGCCCCCAGGCCCCACACCUUGGCCUUAUUCCGCAAAUUAGGAUAACUGGGUGUCGGGGGAGCAUAGAGAGGGACAGUCACUGGAAAAGACUUAGAUUUGCUUGGAAGAGAAAAGGAAGGGGGACAGAAGAAAGAAGAUGGGAAACAGAGCCUUGAGCCUGCGUGUGAGGACCGGGAAUCAAGGGGGAAAGCUUUGCUAUGCAGUGAGAGAUGCCAGGCGCCAAAGAAAAGGGGAAGAAGGACUGAAGAAGUGCUGCUGGGGUUAUGAGCUGGAUUCCCUUUAAUGUUCUUUCAAAAGAUGC